This 77-nucleotide transfer RNA is filed under the name Ferrovibrio xuzhouensis. RNAcentral describes it as "tRNA-Arg". It matches the Rfam family "tRNA". Rfam says of the family: Transfer RNA (tRNA) molecules are approximately 80 nucleotides in length. Lineage: Bacteria; Pseudomonadati; Pseudomonadota; Alphaproteobacteria; Rhodospirillales; Rhodospirillaceae. RNAcentral also lists the same sequence under 10 other names. The record is from RNAcentral.
GCGCUCGUAGCUCAGCUGGAUAGAGCACCAGACUACGAAUCUGGGGGUCAGGAGUUCGAAUCUCUUCGAGCGCACCA